CAUCCCCUUUUCUAAAGUGCGGGGUGCUUCAGAGAUGCAUAAUUGGACAGUGCAGUCAAAAAUUUUGGGAGGUGGGGGGGUGGGGUAAUAUUUCAUUUCAUUUGUAUGAGGAUCAUAGUGUGACUGUGUGUGUGCUGGAGACAGAAUGAGAGAGGGAGAAAAAAUGUUACCAAACCUUUUCCUCUCUGAGAACAUGAUUAUUUUUUGAGGGUGGGAACUCGAAAUGGAAGAGCUAACCCGGGCUGCUAUGGAGGCAUCGAGCCAUGAAAUUUUCAUUUGCUCCCGAAGUUUUUUUUUUUUUUUCUCCAAGGUUUCAUCAUGCAGAAUGUAUCUUGCUUACAAACCAAGCGGGUGUCAAGGCUUCGCAUCACAAUCACACCAACAUCCAUAUUGGCCUUCUCCAGCUACAAAUUCCUUUUAGACAUGUAGUCCAGACUCUAGUGCUCAUACAAGGGCCGCUGUGCAAGUUAUCUAUGACACAAAUGAAUAUCAAACAGCACUGUGUGCUCAUUUGGACCUCAUUUACCCUCUUCUCGAUGGUCCUUUCUCCUUUGCAGCCGUUCUUCCCCUCCCCCUCCUCUCUCUCUCUCUUUAUGUCCUGUCAAUAAAAAACGUUCGCUUUUCAAGUUUUCCACUUCAGCAGCCUUGCUUGUGUGGUAACGCUUUCCUUUCACCACUGAGGAGUUAUGGCUUCUUUGUCCCUGCUUUUACUGUGACGUUGUUUGGCUCUCCAUUUGUUUUUGAUCAUGCUGUUUAGAUGGGGUCAGCCUCGACUCACUCCACCGAGAGAGUCCUUCAGACUGAUCCCUGCUGUGUGUUUCUUUUCUUUUUUCUUUUUUUUUUUUUUAACAAAAUGUUUCAUCAGCCACUGAGCUGCUCUAGAUUGUGUCUUUCCAUUCAUUUUUCUUUUCUUUGUACCUUUUCAUCUUCUGAUGGAGUGAGAAGGAUGAGUUGGCCUUAGUGACGACUACUGCACAUGCAAACAAUGAAGAGUGAUGGACAAAAUGGCAAAGUGGAUCAGCGCUGUGGAACCGUGGAAGAAACAACAGGAAGAGAGAGGAGAACAGCGUAAUAUGAAGGAAGCAGAAGAACAUGAGGGGGGAUCACGGAGCGGGAAAGAUGACAGCAGCCCCACGACGCCUCCGUCUGCAGAGCGCUCUGUACUCAGAUGACCAACAGGUGGCUAUGGAAAGCAGCAAGAGUAUCGCAACCAACUGGCACUUGAGGUAUUGACUCACGACUCGGGGCGUUGACUCAUCUCCAUCCUGACACCCUGGAUGGAGACGCUCAGACACACAAAGACCUGCAGACUAUCAUACAUGCGUCAUGAUGACUGCUCACUGCUGAGGUCAAACCACUGGCCUCUGGAAACCUCACCCUACUAAAAAAUGAUUUUGAAUAAUGAAUCUUGUUUUAAUACAUCCGCUCCCUCAUAUGAUUUACCCUUUUUCUCCUUUUUUUCACAUCAUUUUGCUUUUAUGACGGGUCUGGGAAUUGAGGUCAUUGGGCAAUGAACAGUGUGACUGAAUUAAUGACUGAUAUGUGAAAAGGAAGCAAUGAAAUACUAAUCGCUCGAGUCUAUAAAAUACAAAUGUUUAAGACUAUUUCUGUUGUAAAAUGAAGUGGAAUUCUAAUUAAAAUGUAGAGGACAAACUGCACAUCAAUCUAAAAAUAUCAAAAUGAAUAUUCUAAGGAUUAUUCCACUUAAACAUUCAGGGUGCAAGUGUCUCGUAUCGUAUAUCACAAUAGUUCAAAGAAACAUGUCCAGCGUUUGAUCACCAGUCCUGAAAUCAUCUCAAAUAAAUAAUUCAAUUGCUUAAGUGAAGCGGAUGUCAAUGUGACAUUUGCACUGCACUGUCGGUCAGUGUCUACAAUGCCUCUGCAAUUAAUUAGCACAUUAAUUAUUACUGCAAGCAGUGUUUUCCUCUCCCACUCAACAAUGUAAUACAUGAAGGCAGCAAUCCCACGGGGCAUUUGGCUUCUGUCACAUUUGCAUUACACAUUGUAUUUUUAACAGUUAAAUCCAAUUGUUGCUGGUUUGUAUCCAACAGUUUUUUUUUAUUUUUUAUUUUUAAGCCGCCUGUGCAAAUUUUAUUGGAUAAUGAAGUCCAUCAGUGGACGGUGUUGGUCUGCCCUCCAUCAAAAGCUCAACUCCGUUAAAAUUUUUAUAAGAGACUCGGUACUGUUACCUUCACACAGCGCACUCCAUCAAUCCACGGCAUCCAUAAACGUCCACACACCUCAGUAGAAUACACAGACUACCUGUGCUUUGACAUUUCACAGAUGCUCAUAUCCUUGCCUCCAAACACUUGUUGUAGCAAACAACUCACUUCUUUAACUUUGUCUUCACUGUUUGCCGUGUAAGCCACAGUUAAUGUUACUGAGUCAGAGUAAUGCAGCAACACGACUCACUGUUGUCAUUCAGUAGUGUGUGGU
Molecule: long non-coding RNA, 2436 nt
Organism: Seriola aureovittata
Lineage: Eukaryota; Metazoa; Chordata; Actinopteri; Carangiformes; Carangidae
Exons: 3
Source: RefSeq, a predicted model, not a curated record